GGCUCCUGCCCACGCACUAACCCAGCAUGGUGGCUUGCUUCAGAAACUGGAAGCUGGUUUCAAACGUCAUCUGCUGUAGCGGGGAAGAGUUUGACCGGAUCCCAAAGGCAGGGCAGUGACUUGCCAGACGCCAUCAGCGGGGGUCUCCGACCUUCCAGUUCAAUCUGGCCCAGCAGGCACGAGAUCUGGAGGACAGGAAACCCACAGGAAACUGAAGAUCCACAUGUGUGUUUAACAGUGCUUAACCAUUCUAGAUGUCAUUAAAAAAUUUGUGAUUCAUGGGAGGAAUAUCAAUAUUAACAGGAGUUUGGAACAAGUUGAUUCCAACCCUUAAGUAUGACUUUCAGGGGGUCAAGACUUCAGUGGAGGAAGUAACGGCAGCAGUGGUAGAAAUAGAACUAGAAUUAGAAGAAGAAUCUAUAAAGGAAAAAAAAGAACAAAAAAUAAGUGUUGGUGAAAAUGUGGAGUAACUGAGACCUUCAUACAUUGUUAGUGGAAAUGUAAAAUAACACACCUGAUUUGAAAAAUAGUUUGAAAGUUC
RNAcentral lists this long non-coding RNA (541 nucleotides) under Pan troglodytes (chimpanzee). Its description in RNAcentral is "long non-coding RNA NONPTRT010174". Lineage: Eukaryota; Metazoa; Chordata; Mammalia; Primates; Hominidae. The record is from RNAcentral.